ACCUGCGGAAGGAUCAU
RNAcentral lists this non-coding RNA (17 nucleotides) under Schistosoma mansoni. RNAcentral also lists the same sequence under 16 other names. The record is from RNAcentral. Lineage: Eukaryota; Metazoa; Platyhelminthes; Trematoda; Strigeidida; Schistosomatidae.